Molecule: small nuclear RNA, 105 nt
Organism: Suncus etruscus (white-toothed pygmy shrew)
Lineage: Eukaryota; Metazoa; Chordata; Mammalia; Eulipotyphla; Soricidae
Source: RefSeq, a predicted model, not a curated record
GUGCUCAUUAUGGCAGCACACAUACUAAAAUUGAAACGAUUCAGAGAAGAUUAGCAUGGCCUCUGCACAAGGAUGACACAGAAAAAUUACGCUAGGGGACCAUAU